AGUGAACGCUGGCGGUAGGCCUAACACAUGCAAGUCGAACGGCAGCACAGUAAGAGCUUGCUCUUACGGGUGGCGAGUGGCGGACGGGUGAGGAAUACAUCGGAAUCUACUUUUUCGUGGGGGAUAACGUAGGGAAACUUACGCUAAUACCGCAUACGACCUACGGGUGAAAGCAGGGGAUCUUCGGACCUUGCGCGAUUGAAUGAGCCGAUGUCGGAUUAGCUAGUUGGCGGGGUAAAGGCCCACCAAGGCGACGAUCCGUAGCUGGUCUGAGAGGAUGAUCAGCCACACUGGAACUGAGACACGGUCCAGACUCCUACGGGAGGCAGCAGUGGGGAAUAUUGGACAAUGGGCGCAAGCCUGAUCCAGCCAUACCGCGUGGGUGAAGAAGGCCUUCGGGUUGUAAAGCCCUUUUGUUGGGAAAGAAAUCCAGCCGGCUAAUACCUGGUUGUGAUGACGGUACCCAAAGAAUAAGCACCGGCUAACUUCGUG
Molecule: ribosomal RNA, 492 nt
Filed under: uncultured bacterium
Lineage: Bacteria
Description: partial 16S ribosomal RNA
Rfam family: Bacterial small subunit ribosomal RNA
Source: RNAcentral